Molecule: ribosomal RNA, 82 nt
Filed under: Streptomyces montanisoli
Lineage: Bacteria; Bacillati; Actinomycetota; Actinomycetes; Kitasatosporales; Streptomycetaceae
Also listed under: 2 other names
Description: Bacterial small subunit ribosomal RNA
Rfam family: Bacterial small subunit ribosomal RNA
Source: Rfam by way of RNAcentral
UUCACGGAGAGUUUGAUCCUGGCUCAGGACGAACGCUGGCGGCGUGCUUAACACAUGCAAGUCGAACGAUGAAGCCUUUCGG